This 384-nucleotide ribosomal RNA is filed under the name uncultured bacterium. RNAcentral's name for it is "bacterial SSU rRNA". It matches the Rfam family "Bacterial small subunit ribosomal RNA", at positions 350 to 751 of the family's 1533-position model. The record is from RNAcentral.
AGCAGUGGGGAAUAUUGGACAAUGGGCGAAAGCCUGAUCCAGCAAUGCCGCGUGUGUGAAGAAGGUCUUCGGAUUGUAAAGCACUUUCGACGGGGACGAUGAUGACGGUACCCGUAGAAGAAGCCCCGGCUAACUUCGUGCCAGCAGCCGCGGUAAUACGAAGGGGGCUAGCGUUGCUCGGAAUGACUGGGCGUAAAGGGCGCGUAGGCGGAUUGCGCAGUCAGAUACGAAAUUCCUGGGCUUAACCUGGGGGCUGCAUUUGAGACGCGUAGUCUAGAGUGUGAAAGAGGGUCGUGGAAUUCCCAGUGUAGAGGUGAAAUUCGUAGAUAUUGGGAAGAACACCGGUGGCGAAGGCGGCGACCUGGUUCAUAACUGACGCUGAGG